UCCUACGGGAGGCUGCAGUGGGGAAUAUUGGACAAUGGGGGAAACCCUGAUCCAGCGACGCCGCGUGUGUGAAGAAGGCCUUCGGGUUGUAAAGCACUUUUAGUGGGGAUGAAAAGCCCAGGGAUAACACCUCUGGGUCUUGACCUAACCCACAGAAAAAGCACCGGCUAACUCUGUGCCAGCAGCCGCGGUAAUACAGAGGGUGCAAGCGUUAAUCGGAAUUACUGGGCGUAAAGCGUGCGUAGACGGUUGGAUAAGUCGGGUGUGAAAGCCCCGGGCUCAACCUGGGAAUUGCAUUUGAGACUGUUCAGCUAGGGUGCGGAAGAGGGAAGCGGAAUUUCCGGUGUAGCGGUGAAAUGCGUAGAUAUCGGAAGGAACACCAGUGGCGAAAGCGGCUUCCUGGUCCAGCACCGACGUUCAGGCACGAAAGCGUGGGGAGCAAACAGGAUUAGAUACCCU
RNAcentral lists this ribosomal RNA (459 nucleotides) under Salmonella enterica subsp. enterica. Its description in RNAcentral is "bacterial SSU rRNA". It matches the Rfam family "Bacterial small subunit ribosomal RNA", at positions 337 to 788 of the family's 1533-position model. Lineage: Bacteria; Pseudomonadati; Pseudomonadota; Gammaproteobacteria; Enterobacterales; Enterobacteriaceae. The record is from RNAcentral.